This 72-nucleotide transfer RNA is filed under the name Cercopithecus doggetti (silver monkey). Its description in RNAcentral is "partial tRNA-Phe". Lineage: Eukaryota; Metazoa; Chordata; Mammalia; Primates; Cercopithecidae. The record is from RNAcentral.
GUCUACGUAGCUUAAACCCACCCAAAGCAAGACACUGAAAAUGCCUAGAUGGAUCCACACAUCCCAUAGACA